Molecule: transfer RNA, 74 nt
Filed under: Candidatus Woesearchaeota archaeon
Lineage: Archaea; Nanobdellati; Candidatus Woesearchaeota
Description: tRNA-Ala
Rfam family: tRNA
About the family: Transfer RNA (tRNA) molecules are approximately 80 nucleotides in length.
Source: RNAcentral
GGGCGAGUAGAUCAGCCCGGUAGAUCGUCCGGUUGGCAAUCGGGAGGCCCCGGGUUCAAAUCCCGGCUCGUCCA